This is a long non-coding RNA of Lolium rigidum, 3497 nucleotides long. RefSeq lists it as uncharacterized. The record is from RefSeq and is a predicted model, not a curated record. NCBI's taxonomy places the organism in Eukaryota, Viridiplantae, Streptophyta, Magnoliopsida, Poales, Poaceae. The transcript has 4 exons.
UUCGUCAGAUCCGGCGAGGCAGGGCCAUGGGAAUCCCACGGAGGAAACCCUAGCCGCAUUUCCCCCAAUCCGCUCGUGUGCCUCCUCUCCGUCGCAUCUGGGGCGGCCAGCGAGAGGAUCCCCUCCUCCAUCGCUCCCCUUUUUCACUAGGCAGGGAAGAAGGUGCAGCGCCGCCGUCUUCACCGCAGGGGAGCAAGCUGACGGAUUCCAUGGCGCUGCCAUCGUCUUCAGCCUCGCGUCCAAGGCAGAGCCUACAGUACAUAACAGUAGGAGUGUGGAUCGUCCCUGCGGAGGGCAUGGGGUCUUGACUCGCAGCCUGCCGGUCACGGGCGGCCGGCGCUGCUUGGGGAGGUUUCAGCUGUGUGCGACGGCGAGCAAUUCCGAUUCAUAUAUUGCUAAGGUGAACCUUCUGCCAAAUAUUCCCCUCUGCUCAUUAUCUCUCUCUAUGCAUUGGCCAACUUACUGGCGACCAAGAUCGAGUGAAGCCUCAUGGGGAGUGGAUGUACAAUAUUCUAUACGCGAGGUCCCAGCCAUCCUACAAAUUGGUCCAUGGGCACACUCUAGGAUAACCAGAUAUGUAAUUGUAGGCUUGGAUUUUUAAUUUGAUACAAAUAAUUAAAAUGAAUGGAUAUUUAUUUAUGGCGAGACUAAAGUUUUAUUCCUGCAAAUUGGUCGAUGGGAAUACUCUAGGAAUAACCAGAUAUCUAAUUGUAGGCUUAGAUUAGUAAUUUGAUACAAAUAAUUAAAAUGAACGGAUAUUUAUUUAUGGAGAGAUUAAAGUUUUAUUUAUUCUAUAUCGUAUAUCAGAUUUCUUUAAGUUUAGUUUAGUCUUACCUAGCUAAACAUGUCAAUGUUUUUAGUAAAUUUCCUCGCGUCAAUUGGUUACAAUUUCUUACUUCCUGUCUUAUUACUUUUAUGAUUUCGUCCACGGCGGCCGGCGUCGAGCGAAGCCGCACUGGGAGUGUAUGCUUUGGUUCUGGUAAGAACUGAUGCUUACCUUGGUUUAUACUCUUAUUUCGUAUUUAUGAUAGGUGCAAUCAACGAAUCAAAAAUUUGCUCGAUGAAAGCCUGAGGUUUGCUUGUUACUUGCUUAUGUGAUGCCCCGUCCCACUUCGCCUUGCCUUAGAGCAGAUCAUUGUAACCAUGUUACCUUAAAUUAUAUGCUUGUGUUAGUUAAAAGUAGAAUUUUAGGGCCAUCGUAUGCUCCCUGCUUGUAUUUUGAAAAAUAAUUAAUAUAUUGACCACAUGCAAGAGAUAGUCCAGUGGGUGGGAUGGGAGCCCUACAAAGUUACAUAUACAAGUGAUUAUCUUCAAGCCUUAUAUGAUCAUGCAGUUGAGUUACUUGAGUUAAUACGGAAUGUACUAGCCUAUGUGGAUCACCAGGUAUUUUUCUUUUCUCCGCUAUCAUGGUACGUAUCGAGCCUUUGAGAGACAAAAUUGACAAAUUCUGAACGGUUUGAUUUAGUCCUAGAACAUACACCUUUUUUGAAAAUCUGGUUAUAUUUGUGCUUAAUUUUUUUCUUUAAUGUAUCCUUUGUUUGCCAUCCUAUCAGUAGCAGUAGCAGGACAGAGGGACAACGGUGGGGGGUGGGGUCUCUAAUGUGUCAUGCUCAACCCCGAUUCGUCUAAAAAAGGGCACAGGUCAGCAGCCAACUGCCUCCACGUUGAGGAGCAGUGCCAUCUUCUCAACUCAUCUGCGCCCAUGGUGAUGAACUCCACCGCUGACCACCAUCUAAAGAUGCCCGUGGCGCCGGCCACAUCAUCUGAGUUUGAUCUCACUACAUCGAAGCUCUCUGGAGUGACAUGGCGAUGACAGGUAGUCUCUUUUGACUGUUCACAUGCUCUGUCAGUGAGUUUCUCUCUCCAUAUAUUACAAGGAGUUGCAGGUAUGAAACUUCUAUUGUUGAGGUUCAGCCUUCUGAUUAUUGAUUCUUGUAUUGUUUCUAUAUUAUUAAGGUCUCAGUUCAGCUGUGUGUGGCAUUUCAUUGUAAUCCACUUUUUCAGUACCAAUGAUCAGUUCAGGAGAGAUGAACAUAAUAUUGAGAAAACUGGGUUCAGGAGAGAUGAACAUAAUAUUGAGAAAACUGGGAGCUACAUGCUAACAGUGAUCUUAAAUAUUUAUGUUUUCUGUACCCAUGUUCCCCUCGGCUGUUUUUGGACUACUAUGGAAUCAGUGAUUCGUGCUUGCUUUUAGUCCCAUUUAGUGUUUCAGAUGUAGCUUGAUUUACAUUUCUGGCAUUCUUAUAUGUCUGCUCUAGAUUGAUCUAUAUACUGCUUUACUUACUUUUGAUAUAAUUAGGAAGGACUCUGUGAGCGUCAUGGAGGGAAAACAUAAUGCUUGCACAUUGUCUUCUGAAUACGGCUCAUAAAUGUAGAGAUACCUUAAUGUUCGUUUGGUUUGUUGGGUAGUGUGCGUAGACUUUGCAAAUCACUGCAGUGAGCAUAGCAAUUUUCAUAGAUUUUUUUUUUUUGGAAUGACCGGUUUUGGCAUUGCAGAAGCAUUUCCUUAAAUUUUCUACAAUUCGGACAUGGACUUGAUGAUUAUGCUACCAAUCGGAUACAUCAUACAACCCCAUUAAAUAUAUCUUUGUAACUAGCUGUACCUUUCACGGUCCCUGGUUUGACGUUGUUCCCUUUUGAAAGUAGCUAUUGUUGUGGUGUCUAGGCAGUAGAGUACGAAAGUAAGACCUACAAUGACUACUACCCCUGCAUAUGUGUUGCUGCUACAGCGAGAGCAAUCGUAGGCCUAAUGGUGCAGCAAUUGAGAUUUUAUCCUAUUUCUUAGUUUCUUCUCUGCCCUGAUUUUACCCUAAUUCUUUCUUCUUUUUUAGUUAAUCCAUUCGCUUUUUGUUUAUUUUUACUGUGCUUCCAUUCACUGAUUUAAUUUCCUCUUUAUCCUUUCAUGCGUGCCUUUUCAAUUUCUACUUUCACACAUGAUCAAAAUUUUGUUUCUUUUGCUUUUUGCUUGACAUAUAUAGUUGCUUUGUUCCAUUUUCUUUGCAGGUUGUUGUCUUGCUGGAGAUUGUUGCCCGAGAGGAAACCGAGCCAACGAGACACACCACUGAUUAGCAUGUGCUUCUGAUUCUGUAUUGUCAGCACUUGUUACAUUCGGAGAAGAGAAAGAGAACAAAGUCCUAAAAUAUCAGUUCAACUUGGCUCUGUUUUUGUCAUCUAAUGCCCAUGCUCAAUCCUCACAAGUUUCGUCAUCAAACAUGGAUCCAGUGAGAGCUACUACAUGCAAAAUCCCUGGAGCCAAGCAAAAACGUAGAAAGGAAGCCAAUAUCACUGCUGCUGCUUCAAUAUUAAGUUGUAGAAGAACAAGAUGAAGAAGCAACUGCAAGCUUAUCUACUUUUACCCUAUGCUUUUCAGUGCCAGACUCGAAUGGCUGAGUAGUUGAAUUUUAGUUGAUGAUGACAAACUAUGAAUGCAUGCUUGUAUGGCUCGAAUUCUUUUGUUGAAAUUCAGUGCUAGGCUAUGGCUGGAGACAUUAACAUCA